ACUCUCUGGGCCCGGCUGGGGUAGAGAAGCCCAGGGGUUGGCUGGCAGAGGAAGGGAAGGGUCCGGGGUCGGCUGAGCAUGCCCUCAGGUUGCUCACUGUUCUUCCCUAGAAUGUCAGGUGAUGUGUCACCCCAAGUGCUCCACGUGCUUGCCAGCCACCUGCGGCUUGCCUGCUGAAUAUGCCACACACUUCACCGAGGCCUUCUGCCGUGACAAAAUGAACUCCCCAGGUCUCCAGACCAAGGAGCCCAGCAGCAGCUUGCACCUGGAAGGGUGGAUGAAGGUGCCCAGGAAUAACAAACGAGGACAGCAAGGCUGGGACAGGAAGUACAUUGUCCUGGAGGGAUCAAAAGUCCUCAUUUAUGACAAUGAAGCCAGAGAAGGUAAAUUAAUAAUUCAGGGGGAAGGUCAUUGCACGUGGCUAACCCAGGUCUCCCCAGUGCUGGCGCGAAGGCUUUGUUUUUUGGACUGCCUUGCAAGCCUUCUACGCUUUUCCAUUUUUGAAACUUACAAACCAAAUGACUUCUCUAAAGGUUAUUGGUGCGAUACUCACAUCUAUAGGUCUCC
RNAcentral lists this small RNA (567 nucleotides) under Pan troglodytes (chimpanzee). RNAcentral describes it as "retained intron". The stretch from base 35 to 125 matches the Rfam family "mir-1178 microRNA precursor family". Lineage: Eukaryota; Metazoa; Chordata; Mammalia; Primates; Hominidae. The record is from RNAcentral.